AUGGUCGAUUGUUUGCACUAUUUGAGGUCGGUGGUCCAGGCCAAAUGCCGAGAGGAGAAGGCCAGAUGCACCCGGAACCCACGUAAGAUCUAUGAAGUCCUCGAUAUCAUUAGCCAACUCCUUCAGUAUCACAACCUUGCUCUCAUGUGUCGCCCCUUGGUUGUUCUCCUCAUUGAACUUGAUUUCGCUGAUCACCAUUUUCAUAUCCAGCUUGAUGUCAUUGAGGCCUCUUUUGACUGCGCUUUUCAUGGACUUAUCUCUCGUGAUCACAUCAGCCACCUUGCUAAGCACAGAGUUGGCGAAGGUCACUGCUUGAAUCACCUCUCCUCCUAUCAUUUUGGGAAUGGACGCCAAGUGGUGGAGUCGAUGAAGCGAUGGACGAAGCUACCGCCGUCGGAGUCGCUCGCCGGCGUCGCCGCAGCGGAGCGCCCGCCAGAUAUGAUAGCCAAGCUCCGCCUUGGAUGCCUCCCCGGUCCCCGCUGGUGGCUUGCCGUGAUCAGUCGAGAAAUGGAGAUGACGAGAAGAGAGACUUUGGAGCACCAGCAGCAAGCGGCGGCUUGGCUUGUGGAGAUUUUUUGGUGGCCUAGAUCAGUGCUGUGUGUGUGCGCGAGCGACUUGGAGAGACAAUGGGAUGCGGUCGGGGAAAAGAGUCGGGGGAAGAGAGAGCAGGCAUCAACAAUGGUAGCAUUUUUAAUUUGA
Molecule: ribosomal RNA, 699 nt
Filed under: Triticum aestivum (bread wheat)
Lineage: Eukaryota; Viridiplantae; Streptophyta; Magnoliopsida; Poales; Poaceae
Description: partial small subunit ribosomal RNA
Source: RNAcentral